This 216-nucleotide long non-coding RNA is filed under the name Linum usitatissimum (flax). Its description in RNAcentral is "long non-coding RNA (LUSI_LNC003641)". Lineage: Eukaryota; Viridiplantae; Streptophyta; Magnoliopsida; Malpighiales; Linaceae. The record is from RNAcentral.
CCAAUCCUUCGCCGGAUGCCUCGGAGGCCCUACCGUCGUCUAGAGCCGUCUCCACUGCUCUGUACCCUCCGUCGCACGUUGUCGAUGUCACAUCGAUCGCCACCACGCCCUGAUCUUCUUCCUCCUCUCAAUCCGACCCCAAGCAGGCGCUCCUCCGCUCUCUCUCUCAGAAUCCGACGAUCUCCUUCUUCUUCCUUACAUCGAGCGCGGUCGUAA